This 801-nucleotide ribosomal RNA is filed under the name uncultured Bacillota bacterium. Its description in RNAcentral is "bacterial SSU rRNA". It matches the Rfam family "Bacterial small subunit ribosomal RNA", at positions 71 to 905 of the family's 1533-position model. The record is from RNAcentral. Lineage: Bacteria; Bacillati; Bacillota.
AAAGGGGAGCAAUCCCUGAGUAAAGUGGCGUACGGGUGAGUAACACGUGGGUAAUCUACCUUUUGGUGGGGGAUAACCUUGGGAAACCGGGGCUAAUACCGCAUAAUCUCGCAAGAGCAAAGGAGCAAUUCGCCGAAAGAAGAGCCCGCGGCUGAUUAGCUAGUUGGUAGGGUAAUGGCCUACCAAGGCUUUGAUCGGUAGCCGGCCUGAGAGGGCACACGGCCACACUGGCACUGAAACACGGGCCAGACUCCUACGGGAGGCAGCAGUGGGGAAUCUUGCACAAUGGGGGAAACCCUGAUGCAGCGACGCCGCGUGAGCGAUGAAGCCUUUCGGGGUGUAAAGCUCUUUCGACAGGAACGAUAAUGACGGUACCUGGAGAAGAAGCUGCGGCUAACUACGUGCCAGCAGCCGCGGUAAUACGUAGGCAGCAAGCGUUGUUCGGAGUUACUGGGCGUAAAGAGUGCGUAGGCGGUCCUAUAAGUUCCGUGUGAAAUCUCCCGGCUCAACUGGGAGGGUGCGCGGAAGACUGUAGGGCUUGAGUGUGGGAGAGGUAAGCGGAAUUCCUGGUGUAGCGGUGAAAUGCGUAGAUAUCAGGAGGAACACCUGUGGUGUAGACAGCUUACUGGACCAUAACUGACGCUGAGGCACGAAAGCGUGGGUAGCAAACAGGAUUAGAUACCCUGGUAGUCCACGCCCUAAACGAUGCAUACUUGGUGUGAGCCAUUCAUUUGGUUCGUGCCGGAGCUAACGCGUUAAGUAUGCCGCCUGGGGAGUACGGUCGCAAGGCUGAAACUCAAA